UAGUCAAGGUUCUAUAAUGUAAUUGGAAUGUAGAAAUAGAAUUGAGUAUUGAUAUUGAAUUGUAUACGAGCAGACACGGUAACUAUAAGUCGAAAUCAUGUUUUCGUUCAGAAAAUUUUCAGUAAUUAAUUGUAUUCUAGCAAUUCGUAUCUGUUUCGGACAUUUCUGCGAAUUGUCUACAUCGAAACGGGUUAACUUUGUUUGCAAAUACUAUUGUAUAGUAUUUUAUAUAUGGCAAAUUAAUUUUAUGUACAAAGGUUUACUUCUCGCAUCUACACAUCUAUACCUACAACUUAUACUUGUAUGCUUCAAAUCUAUAUCUAAUGCACUCAUUGCGUUUUUUUUUAAGGAUUCAUAUUUUUUAAAAUACUGUGCAGAUGUUGAGACGAUCGAUAAAGUAUUACGAUUUAAUGUAAAGUACACUAUUUAUUCAAUUGUUGUUUACGGAAUUUCUAUAAUAUGCUGCAUUAUAAGCGCCAUUCCCCUAAUUAAAGUCUUUGGUGUAGGUGCUUUCUUCGAGGUUGGCUCGUUUUUAGUAUCCGACGUUUCUGUAAUGCUUGCUUCCAUUGUUAUUUCGUUGAGUUACGAAAUGUUUUGGACUCGAAUGAAAUUAUUGAAGGAUUACGUUAAGCAAUACGUUCACAAUGGAGACUUGACUAUUGAGUCGAAGAACUUCCACUUGAAACAGUUUACACAUGUUUACAAAAGUCUUUUAGAUGCUGUGAAAGAUGCGAAUGCUGCUCUCAAAAUAAAGAUGUUUAUCGACACAAUUUUUAUAUUCAGCAAGAUGGUUACUGAGACUCAUUUUCAAAUCAUUGCCGUCAUUUCAGAUGGGUUUUCUUUGUACAUGAUUCUGCCAAUAACCAGUGUUAUAGUACAUUUUUGCCUAAUUUUUCUGAGCGUAAUAUUUUUAGAGUUGGUUCUAAAGGAAUAUGAGGAAAUAAAAGGCAUGAUGGCUAUUGAGUUAGUAAGAU
Molecule: long non-coding RNA, 974 nt
Organism: Pieris napi
Lineage: Eukaryota; Metazoa; Arthropoda; Insecta; Lepidoptera; Pieridae
Exons: 3
Source: RefSeq, a predicted model, not a curated record